Carcharodon carcharias (great white shark) is the source of this 2430-nucleotide RNA transcript. It is a transcript of the gene named zinc finger protein 239-like, with no coding region annotated. The record is from RefSeq and is a predicted model, not a curated record. NCBI's taxonomy places the organism in Eukaryota, Metazoa, Chordata, Chondrichthyes, Lamniformes, Lamnidae. The transcript is spliced from 3 exons.
GGUUGGGGCAGGGCUCCCGUGUCCGCGCGCCUGGCCUGUAAGAUUGGAACCCGAGGACGUCACUGCGGAGCAGAGUGAUUCCCAUUGGCUGGUUCAGGUCGGGUUCGAUUGUGGACGUAACAUUGCGGAAGUUGAACAAUGAGCUUCAGGCUAAAACUUCUGUGCAACAUCUGUGAGGAAAUCAAUGUAUUUAUUUAUUGUAUGUCUAUUUAUUUUCUAAUUCUGGUCUUAAAUUGUUGACUUGCAGGAACUAAAAGGAAAAGAGUUAGUCCAGGGAGGGUGCAGUCUAGAAAGGUUGGCGCAAUCUCUACUCUCAAAGACAUUGACAUCCUUUGCUCUCUCAGCUUGCCACAUUUAUUUGUCUGGCUAAAAGAAUGGUCUCUUUCCUGAUGUACAGAAUUAAAGGGAUGAUUUCCUCAGAAGGCUGACAUUUAAGAGGACAUAGUAAGGAUAUUUGAAGGGGUGGAAUAACGGAUAGGAAACUCAAAUGAAGCAUCAUGUUAAGAUCUGAUACAGCAACUUGAUUCACCAACAUCUGAACAUCAUCAGUCUUUGAUUCCAUAAGAGAAAGGAUCGUGUUCACAGUUCAGAAGAUGUUCCUGUGAGUAAAAAAAAACCCUCACCUAUUCGUGACCAAGUUAAGCAACAAACUGAUACAAAUAAAGAUAUUGAUGUGUCCACCCUAGUCAUGGACAGUGCAGAGUCAGGAAAAGUGCCUGAAACAACUCAAGAUAAAAGCCCACUUCAGAAGGAACUAAGAUCUCAAAGAAACCCUAAAGGAUUAAUGACACCGAACACUGAAUAAUAUGUAGCUGCCUGUGCUGAGACAGAACAAGAUAUAACAGCAGCAGGAGUUCAGACAAAGGGACAGUUCACAGAAAAAACACUUCAAACUCCAAAAUGAUUGGUUUGAAAUAGUUUUUGAGUGAUGUAGAAGACUCAAAAUGUUUGAAAUAAUAAUUGAAAGUCCAGAAUGAAGAAGCUGUCAACAUCACUGGAAAAAAAUUAAAUUAAGCUCGAUCUGAAUGAGAUUAGGUGAACCGAAAGGAUAAUAAACUGUUCAAAGACCAGACCAUACAGGAGUAACAAACAUUUUUGCUUGAACAUUAAAAGCAUUUUGUGAUGAGAGAUGUAUAUUUUUGUGAUGUUUUCUGUGUAGAAAGCUGUGGGUGUGUGUCCAGGGUUAAUUAAGCAAGGGGGAGAUUACUAGAGACAGGUUGUCUGUGAGGUCUAAGAGAUGAAAGGUUAAAGGUGUUCAGUUUGUGCGUUUGGUGCAGAGGUUAUGGUGGGUUUGAGUUACAAGUAAAUAGGUUAGUUCUGAAAUUUGCAUUAUGAUAUAAGUGGGAAAUGGGUUUUUCAGCCGUUGAAUUUCAAAAAGGGAGUUCAGAAGUAACAGGGAACAUUUGUAUCUUACAGGGAUUCCAUGAGUAAAUAGGGGAAGGCAUAUUAAAUUUUAUUGUAGAGGCAAAACAGAAAACAUGAAAUGUUUUUACAUUUGGAGAAGUUGAGUUUCAAAGAGGUGUUUCAGGACAAUGGAACUUGAGAUGAAAGGUGUAAAAGAUAUUUAAGGAAAGGGAUGUUUAACUAUUGAGGAUUGCUGUGGGGCAACCCACUGAGGUUCAGCUUAUCUGUGUGUGAGCGGCUGAGAAACUGUAAAAGUUUAGAAUUGGAGGCAGCCACCAAGUGUUAAGCCAGGAGUCUUUGUUUUAGGAAACAGUUUGUUUCUGAACCUUCUUUUGGAAUUCCAUAUCAGAGUGGAAGUACCUGAGAAGUCGUGAGGUACACCUUUAUUAAAGUGACAAUAAUUCCUUGACUUGGGUAAUGUUUACUGGAUUUUUAUGGUUAAAAUCUAUAACGGGUUGUUGCCAAAAAGGUAGUGCAGUUGUGUACUUUUGACCAAGCAUAUUUUUGAGGGUUAUUCUGUAAGGCUGUUCUAACUUUUAUCUUGUGUGCUUAAGUUUUCCUUUUUAAUAAAUCCUUUAACUUUAAAAAUUCUAAAAUUAUGACUGGAGUUCUGUGUUUAUGAUCAGCAAGACGGACUUCACUCAGGAGUCUGACUUGCUCAGCAAUAACAUCAACUGUGGUCGUAACAUUUUGAGUGACAUUCUUAAAAUACCGAAAGAAGAUUUUUACCAGUGAAUUUACACAGUAGAUUAGCUUGGAAGCAUUGGAAAAAUAACAAGGGACUGAGCAGCCACAGUCAAGAAAUGAUAAAUGAAAGUUUAACCUCUGAGAAUAGCUGGAACUGAGGAGAAUUCUCCACAGCACUGUGACAUACUUGGUGUGCCUGAUGAGAGAAUCAUGGGGAAACUAAGAUGUAAACCUGAGGACACAACAUAUGUGGUUAUAAACCAUAUUAAGUUAUUAGUACUUGCUUUGUUUAAUUAUUUUAUAUACAAUAAAGUUUGUUUUGGUAAAAAAAAAGUGAAA